AUUGAACGCUGGCGGAAUGCUUUACACAUGCAAGUCGAACGGCAGCACGGACUUCGGUCUGGUGGCGAGUGGCGAACGGGUGAGUAACAUAUCGGAACGUAUCCAAUAAUGGGGGAUAACUAAUCGAAAGGUUGGCUAAUACCGCAUACGCCCUACGGGGGAAAGCUAGGGACCUUCGGGCCUGGCGUUAAUGGAGCGGCCUAUCAGCUUGUUGGUGAGGUAAUGGCUCACCAAGGCGACGACGGGUAGCCGGCCUGAGAGGGCGACCGGCCACACUGGGACUGAGACACGGCCCAGACUCCUACGGGAGGCAGCAGUGGGGAAUAUUGGGCAAUGGAGGAAACUCUGACCCAGCGACGCCGCGUGC
RNAcentral lists this ribosomal RNA (367 nucleotides) under uncultured bacterium. Its description in RNAcentral is "bacterial SSU rRNA". It matches the Rfam family "Bacterial small subunit ribosomal RNA", at positions 30 to 404 of the family's 1533-position model. The record is from RNAcentral.